This 441-nucleotide ribosomal RNA is filed under the name uncultured bacterium. RNAcentral's name for it is "bacterial SSU rRNA". It matches the Rfam family "Bacterial small subunit ribosomal RNA", at positions 28 to 461 of the family's 1533-position model. The record is from RNAcentral.
GACGAACGCUGGCGGCGUGCCUAAUACAUGCAAGUAGAACGCUGAAGGAGGAGCUUGCUUCUCCGGAUGAGUUGCGAACGGGUGAGUAACGCGUAGGUAACCUGCCUGGUAGCGGGGGAUAACUAUUGGAAACGAUAGCUAAUACCGCAUAAUAGCAGUUAUUGCAUGAUAACUGUUUGAAAGGUGCAAUUGCACCACUACCAGAUGGACCUGCGUUGUAUUGGCUAGUUGGUGGGGUAACGGCUCACCAAGGCGACGAUACAUAGCCGACCUGAGAGGGUGAUCGGCCACACUGGGACUGAGACACGGCCCAGACUCCUACGGGAGGCAGCAGUAGGGAAUCUUCGGCAAUGGACGGAAGUCUGACCGAGCAACGCCGCGUGAGUGAAGAAGGUUUUCGGAUCGUAAAGCUCUGUUGUAAGAGAAGAACGAGUGUGAGAG